Molecule: long non-coding RNA, 1441 nt
Organism: Pantherophis guttatus
Lineage: Eukaryota; Metazoa; Chordata; Lepidosauria; Squamata; Colubridae
Source: RefSeq, a predicted model, not a curated record
GAUCAGGUCGGAAUGUUCUGUUCUGCUUCGAGGCCAUCAGAAAACUGUCAAUCAUCCAAGACAAUCACUGGGGCAGAGGAUGCAGACUAUACUCCCCACGCGCGUUGCCUCCGCGUCACCCGAAACUCUCCAGCUCGGUGAAAAGGAAAGCGAGACUUAAAAGACGCGCCGUCUGCCUCGCCCAGAAGUUACUUGGCUCUCCGGCUUUCCUCUUUUUAUUCCACACACACACCCCUCCCACAGUCACGGAACCCGGAAGUUUGUGUGUGAGCGCGUCUCUUUUCUGCGUGGUGGUUGGCGUUUCGUUUCGUUUUUCUUUUUUUCUUUUUUUAAUUUCUAUCACAUGGCAGCUUGCGAGAGAGAUACAAUAAAAACAGAAAAAUGGCGACAGUCACGUUGGGGCGACUCUGCUGCGUCAUUAGAUAAUCUUCGCGCAAAGAAAGCUAAAGAACAAAGACGAGAGAGCGCGAGGGGGGGAGAAGCAGCGCGUCUGGAAAGACUCCUGGCCCGGUUCCUUUCCAGUCAAGUGAUUGUAAAUAUAGCCCGGGUGUUGUUUACAUGAAACCAUCCAGGGGGAGGAGCGCAGAGAGGAGGAAGAGGAAGGCGGAGGAGGCUUCCCAGGCUGGCAGGGUAACUUGUGGAAGGACCUAAGCCCUGAAGCAUCCCUUGCUUCUUGAAGAGAUCUUAAGCCAGGAUUAAUGGGACUUUGAAAUGCUGCCUCUGCCAAAAGUCAUUUAUCUGCACAAUUCCUGAACGUAUAAGACGGCUCUCUGGAUGUCACUGGCAGUGAAAAAGCGAAGAUGCCUAAUGCCUUUUUCUGAAGAAUGCAGCUCCUAAUGUUGCCAGCCUCAAAUCUAAUUUUCCAGGAACUUCCCUCAGUUCUAUCUGAAAAUCCACAACCAACUGGAUAUGGAAUUAAUGCAUCUAAAAAAAUGUGCAUCACAUGGCAGCUUUCAGUCAGAACUGGAAAGGAGAGAUGAGUUUCCUCCACUUCUGUUCCCUGGACUCUGUCCAAAAGUCCAGUCCUGACGGCAAAACUGGCCACAGAAGUUAUUACCUUUAUAGCAGAUAAUUAGGAAUACCUUAUGGAUAAUAAGAGCAGGUGGAUGCAGUCUUUUGUUGUGUGAAACUGCACUUAAAACCAUCAAGAUACCACAGUAGCGUACAUACCGAUCUGUGGAUCAACUGAUGGAACCUGCACCUUGGGGUUAUCUGAUAGUUCUACAUGAAGUCAGGCAAUGAUUGACAGGCUGCCCUGGCUCAGUUAUCACUGUGCUGAUGCUGUCUAUACUAAAGGUACAGUACUGUGAUAACUGAAGGAUGGUAGCCAUCUUAGCUUCAGAGGAAUUCAACAUGUGGAGAUCAAAGGCAUUAUUUGAUUCUGUAACACUUAUGAUGCUUUAUAAUUAAAGAGAGCACAUCUGGAUGCUGGAAAAACAUA